RNAcentral lists this ribosomal RNA (591 nucleotides) under uncultured Burkholderia sp. RNAcentral's name for it is "bacterial SSU rRNA". It matches the Rfam family "Bacterial small subunit ribosomal RNA", at positions 418 to 1003 of the family's 1533-position model. Lineage: Bacteria; Pseudomonadati; Pseudomonadota; Betaproteobacteria; Burkholderiales; Burkholderiaceae. The record is from RNAcentral.
UCGGGUUGUAAAGCACUUUUGUCCGGAAAGAAAACCUCUGGGUUAAUACCCCGGGGGGAUGACGGUACCGGAAGAAUAAGCACCGGCUAACUACGUGCCAGCAGCGCGGUAAUCGUAGGGUGCGAGCGUUAAUCGGAAUUACUGGGCGUAAAGCGUGCGCAGGCGGUUCGUUAAGACAGAUGUGAAAUCCCCGGGCUUAACCUGGGAACUGCAUUUGUGACUGGCGGGCUAGAGUAUGGCAGAGGGGGGUAGAAUUCCACGUGUAGCAGUGAAAUGCGUAGAGAUGUGGAGGAAUACCGAUGGCGAAGGCAGCCCCCUGGGCCAAUACUGACGCUCAUGCACGAAAGCGUGGGGAGCAAACAGGAUUAGAUACCCUGGUAGUCCACGCCCUAAACGAUGUCAACUAGUUGUUGGGGAUUCAUUUCCUUAGUAACGUAGCUAACGCGUGAAGUUGACCGCCUGGGGAGUACGGUCGCAAGAUUAAAACUCAAAGGAAUUGACGGGGACCCGCACAAGCGGUGGAUGAAUGUGGAUUAAUUCGAUGCAACGCGAAAAACCUUACCUACCCUUGACAUGGACGGAACCUGGCUG